RNAcentral lists this ribosomal RNA (492 nucleotides) under uncultured bacterium. RNAcentral's name for it is "bacterial SSU rRNA". It matches the Rfam family "Bacterial small subunit ribosomal RNA", at positions 43 to 524 of the family's 1533-position model. The record is from RNAcentral.
CAGGCCUAACACAUGCAAGUCGAACGGCAGCACAGGAGAGCUUGCUCUCUGGGUGGCGAGUGGCGGACGGGUGAGGAAUACAUCGGAAUCUACCUUUUCGUGGGGGAUAACGUAGGGGAACUUACGCUAAUACCGCAUACGACCUUCGGGUGAAAGCAGGGGACCUUCGGGCCUUGCGCGGAUAGAUGAGCCGAUGUCGGAUUAGCUAGUUGGCGGGGUAAAGGCCCACCAAGGCGACGAUCCGUAGCUGGUCUGAGAGGAUGAUCAGCCACACUGGAACUGAGACACGGUCCAGACUCCUACGGGAGGCAGCAGUGGGGAAUAUUGGACAAUGGGCGCAAGCCUGAUCCAGCCAUACCGCGUGGGUGAAGAAGGCCUUCGGGUUGUAAAGCCCUUUUGUUGGGAAAGAAAAGCAGUCGGUUAAUACCCGGUUGUUCUGACGGUACCCAAAGAAUAAGCACCGGCUAACUUCGUGCCAGCAGCCGCGGUAAU